AUUUAAACAUAGUUAGAAAAUGUUUAAGAUAACAUGGUAUAGAAAAAUGUCAGUUAAGUAACGUCAUUGUGUAUUAAAAUUCAGAGGCUACCUUGAAUUCUUCAUUUUGUUUUCAAUAUUUAUUUUCGUUUAAAAGAUGUAUAGAUUAAUAUUAUUUUUAUUUGUGGUUAAAGUUAUGGGACAAUAUGAAAAUGUUCCAUUCAAUGAACAUGAAGGAUGUACUCCUUGUUGCCCAGAUUCUACUUGCCAAAACAAGCAAACCAAACAAUGUGAUUAUGAGGAUUGUCCUAUAGAAUGUAUUCCAGUAUAUAGAUGUGAUGAGGGAUUUUUGAGAGAUGAAAUAAGUCAAAUGUGUGUUCUUCCUAGAGACUGUCCUAACUAUAAUGUGAAGACAUUAACAGAAGGAGAUAUUUGAAAUUAUGACUUUUUAAGUACAAUAUAUGUGUAUUAAAGUUCGAAUUUUAGGUAAAGUGAGGAAUAGUGAAAAUUUUUUCUACAUUUAAACAUACCCAUAGUGUAAAGUGAAGUUCCAACAACCAUUUAAAAUUUAAACAUAAUGACCAGUUUGUAAUUUUUAAACGUUUAGAUGGUACAUAAGAAUCAGUGAUACAUAUGUAAAUAAAACAAAACUAGAAAUCUAAAUUCUGAAACAGCAUAAAAAAUCCACAUAAUACCACAAUCACUUGAUCACAUCAAAUCUCAUAUAAAACAAUCAACAAAUGCUCUCUGCACUAUGUCGUUCUUUGUAUCCGAUCGAAUUAAUUCUAUACUCAUGAGCUGGCCUGCACUGGUCCAUUUCAAUACAGUUCCACCGCAGCAACCAAGAGCAAACCUAAUAAACUGCUACUAUUAAAAUAAAGUUUUAGGUUAGAAUAGAAUUAUUUGCGUUUAAUUGACAGCACAAGCACAGAACUAGGAACUAUUUUGUCAAAAUACGCUAAUAUAUCGGUGUUUCCGUAUCAGAGGCUCAUGUUACAAAUUUGUGAGCGGAGGGAUACAAGAGAAUCUAAAAAAUUCCAUAUCGUGAAGCAUAGUGUGGAUACUAUUCGUAUAUUCUUCGCGGCUCCUUCGCCAAAAAUUGUUUUUUUUGUCCCGCGAUAAAGGGCACGCAGGCGCGAACACGACAAUACUUUACGGAUUGCUCAGUCGUUCAGUAGAAUUUGCCAUGGGUGGUCGUGUUUUCGAUACCACGAUUUUGCAUACAAAAUGAGUACCGUGUGGAAUAACUAAUUAAAACUCUCACUUAUUGCAUGUUUUCGUGCUUGAAACAGUGCGAUGCUUGGAUGCGGAUAAGUACUGUAAUAGAAAUACCAAUAAAUGAAUUGAGAAAGAAAAAAGAUUCGCUCGUUUCAAGUUAUAGGAGCUACAAAGGAAAAAUUAAGAAGUCUAUAAACUUUAGAAAACUUCAAGACGUACAAAUAAACAGUUGCCUACCUUUAUCAUAAUAUAAAUGAAAAUCAAAAUUAAUUUAGUUCUGUAGCAGCUGUAAACACAUUGGAGAAGGUUAUAGUAUAACAUUUUAGCGCUAGAUUUAUCAACCAUUCAAAUAGAACUUUUAACUGACUAGUCUCACUGUUACCCACGCUCCCUUUAUUGUAAAUUCCUCCCGUAAAUAUUUGAAACAAUUUACGGUUAUUUAUCAAGGUUAAACUCAUAUUUUGAAAAUAAAAAGCCAUAAGGGUAUUAAGGAACAAAACAAAAAGUUAACCAUUGUUAUAAUCUUUAAUUUCUUACACAUUUUAGGAAAUUUUUACAUUACAAUUACCAAAAUAAAAUAAACUUUACUCUCAUUUCUUCUAUAAUAUUUUGUUUAACAGCUAAAAACACGUAAAUACAUGGAUUUAAGAAUAAAAUGAAGAUAAGCAGGGUUAUAAAAUUAAAAUAGAUUUUUAUCAAUAUAUAUAUUUAAUCAUUUAGUUCUAGUAUCACUACUAAAUUUUUUAGGAAUUUAUUUUAUAUUUUUCUCACUAUCAACAAACAAUUCCGAAAAAAAUUGAGUACAAAUUAGUGGAAUGUGAAAAGAAAGUUACAAACUUGGUAAAACUGGUCUUCGGAUUGGACAACAAUGAUUUCUUCUCGAAUCACAAUGUAUACUGUGUGUUUCAAUAAGUUUUGAUUAUAAAUUAAAUGAUUAUAAGUGUUAAGAAUAA
Long non-coding RNA from Diorhabda carinulata, 2150 nucleotides. RefSeq lists it as uncharacterized. NCBI's taxonomy places the organism in Eukaryota, Metazoa, Arthropoda, Insecta, Coleoptera, Chrysomelidae. The transcript is spliced from 2 exons. The record is from RefSeq and is a predicted model, not a curated record.